UACGUAGGGUGCAAGCGUUGUCCGGAAUUAUUGGGCGUAAAGAGCUCGUAGGCGGUUUGUUGCGUCGGCUGUGAAAUCCCGAGGCUCAACCUCGGGUCUGCAGUCGAUACGAGCAAACUAGAGUAUUGCAGGGGAGACUGGAAUUCCUGGUGUAGCGGUGAAAUGCGCAGAUAUCAGGAGGAAUACCGGUGGCGAAAGGCGGGC
Molecule: ribosomal RNA, 204 nt
Filed under: uncultured bacterium
Lineage: Bacteria
Description: partial 16S ribosomal RNA
Rfam family: Bacterial small subunit ribosomal RNA
Source: RNAcentral